UACGUAGGGUGCGAGCGUUGUCCGGAAUUAUUGGGCGUAAAGGGAUCGUAGGCGGUUUGUCGGGUCUGUCGUGAAAGCUCGGGGCUUAACUCCGGGUCUGCGGUGGAUACGGGCAGGCUAGAGUCCGGCAGGGGAGACUGGAAUUCCUGGUGUAGCGGUGAAAUGCGCAGAUAUCAGGAGGAACACCGUUGGCGAAGUCGGGUCUCUGGGCCGGUACUGACGCUGAGGAGCGAAAGCGUGGGGAGCGAACAGG
RNAcentral lists this unclassified non-coding RNA (253 nucleotides) under uncultured Propionibacteriaceae bacterium. RNAcentral describes it as "contains 16S-23S intergenic spacer region". It matches the Rfam family "Bacterial small subunit ribosomal RNA", at positions 524 to 776 of the family's 1533-position model. Lineage: Bacteria; Bacillati; Actinomycetota; Actinomycetes; Propionibacteriales; Propionibacteriaceae. The record is from RNAcentral.